RNAcentral lists this ribosomal RNA (2708 nucleotides) under Triticum aestivum (bread wheat). RNAcentral's name for it is "partial small subunit ribosomal RNA". The record is from RNAcentral. Lineage: Eukaryota; Viridiplantae; Streptophyta; Magnoliopsida; Poales; Poaceae.
AAACCACCCACCACCCACCUCCCGCACGAACACAGCCCCACUCCACCUCCACCUUCUUCCGCGCUCCCCGCCCCCCGGGUCCCAGCCUCCUUCCCCCGACCUCCUUCCUUGCGCGUCGCCGCCGCGCUGCCGUGACCCUGCCGCCGCAGCACCCCACCCACCAUUACCUGCCGCCGCCCACCACCACCUACCGGGAUCUGGCCGGCAACCACGGGAUCGAUCCCGACCACCACGGAUUCCCACCACACCACCACCUCCACCUCCACCUCCCGUCCCGCACACCCCAAAAUCCCGGCCACUGCCGCCUCGCCUCCUCCUCCUCCUGCCCGGCGCGGCCCUCCUCCCACCUGGCGCCGCCCCGCCUCCUCCUCCCGCCCGGUGCAGCCCCGCCUCAUCCUCCUCCCGCCUGGCGCGGCCUCCUUCCACCUGGCGCCGCCUCGUCUCCUCCUCCCGGCCGGCGCGCCUCCGUCCCGCAGCGCCGCCCUGGCGAUGGCCCCGGCCCCGCCCCACUCCAGCCACGGCAGUUUUUUCUACUACUGUGAGUGUGUGUGCAGUCCACCGGCCCCCUCCUCUGCUUCAGAUCCCGUGCAACCUUCCGAUGCAGUUCGUCGCACCAACCCCCUGCAGCUCUCUCCUCCCCAAUCCAUGGACCCCGCGCCGGAUCCGGGUUCUUCCCUCGUGCAUCGUCCUCUUCUCGCACCGAUCCCCGCCAUGGUCGCGCGGAUCCCCGAGAGUUCGAGGUGUGCCACCCCCGCCGUGGUCCUGCCUACUUCCCCUCCUUCCCUGCUACACCAGCAGGGCGUCGGUCACAGGAUCUGCCUCCCCCUAUUUGCAGCUCCUUUGUUUCUUUUUUGCAGCUCGCUAAGUAUAAUUUUGAAGUUCAGUGAGAUCCAUGCGCGCCGGAUCACGCGUUGCCGACCCCCCUGCAUGCCUCCUCGCAUGCGAGGUGCUGUGCUGUGUAGGGAGGUGUCUACACCAGCGUCGGCGCCCGUCCACCAUGGUGAGUUGCUACCACCCGCGGCUCCACGCUGCCCUCCCUCCACUCCUCUCCACGGCAGCAAGCAGUCCCCCUGAGCGGCGCGUGCAGCUCACGGCGCUCUAGCUAUGCACUUGUUUGCUUGUGUUUCCGAUAGAUGCAUGUGAAAUUCGUGGAGAAAAGCCUCGUAGUUUUUGAUGGCUCAUAGCUGAUUGAUUUCUUUUAAGGCAAUAAUAGUAGUAAUUGAAUUGUCAGUCCUGGUUCUUAAUGUUAAGUCCAACUUGAGGGGAAGUACUUAUACAAUUUUGUUUUGUUCUCAAACAGAUUUGAGGAGUUUGUAUGUCACCUUUGCUCACCAGUAGUUCUGCAGAUUAACUUUACUGUCUGUCCACACCACUGGGUUGGGUUAGUUUCUCUGCAACCUGAGUAUCUUGUAAGAAGAAUGCAGAAAGGGGAACAACUAGUGCCUCGGCGAUGGUGAACUAGCACAUAAAGCUUAUUUAGAUUUUUGAGCAUACAACCAUGUUCCGUUUAUUCCAUUUUUGUGCUUUCCUUUUAAACUGUUAUGAUGUUUUGGUUCAAGUUUAACACAUGCUAGAGUGCACGCAUGUUCUUUUGUAAGGAACUAAAACUUAUGCAUGUGAUACAUACAAGAAGGAAGAUGGAAAUGGGACUUUUAAGGUUUGCGUAUGAAGGGAAAUUUAGUUUUCUGUAGAUUUACCUCAGUUACAUUAAAUGUUCUUUUAACAAUUGGCAAAGUCCUGAUGCUGUUAUGUAUCUACUUCUCUCUUCUGUAGUUGUUGCAUUUAAUUGCUUGUCCAGCUCUCUUAUGUCCCCGUCAUCGCCCACAUCGGAGGCUCUGCCAUCGCUGGAUCCCGGCAUCCCCGGGCCCUGCAGGAGGGAUACCGACAUCAACGUCCCCUUCCCUGACCAUCUAGAAGGAGGUGGUCGUCCCUGUCUGUCGCUGCAGUCCGCACGGUGGGCGUCCGCAGCACAUCGCCGACAAAGGUGGAUCCAAGGGGCACCCGUGCAGUCCACUGCGUGGGUGCACGCAGCAUGCCGGCACUCCCCUUUGCAGUCCAUAAUGUGGGUUCAGCCCAUAGCGGCAUGCAGCUCUGCCCAUGGGCAUAUGAAGUACGCUAUGACGAGCAUGUAUACAUGGUUUCGGGAGCAAAACAUCAGCGUGCGAUUCAGUGUUUUUUUGCUGCAGUUCACUACUCAUUCGUACCACUUUACUCUUUUUUUAAUGGGAAUCUUCGGUGCAAUGAAUUAUUCUAUCCGCUAUUUUUGAUGUUCAGUUUACUAGUUUUUGCAGGAGAUGGCGGACAAAAAAAGAGGGAGAAAUGAGUCUCAAGCACAUACUGCGUGAGCACCUCGGUUAGCCGGCGAUCUGCAGUAUGUUGAAUGGUAUCACUCCAGUUCACAUCGCCCCAUGGCCGACUCCGGCGGCCUGCUUUGGUCGCCUUCUUGCUGCAGUUUUGCUAUUGCACGACAUACGAUUCAAUAGCGCCAGUAGGGUCGCGUGGGGAGGACUACACCUUCAGGAGGUGGUGUUUGCGAACAAUCCAGAGGCCCAAUUCAUUUUUGAAAAAUUUGUUUGAGACUUGUUAUGUAAACUGCAGAAGCUUGUUUGUAAAAUAGUUACCCUAAUGUAGUUCGUUGUAAAUCCUAAAGAGGCUCAUUUUGUGGGCAAGUAAGACAAAAAAAUCCACGAGAGGUUCACUUCUUUUCC